Molecule: long non-coding RNA, 805 nt
Filed under: Homo sapiens (human)
Lineage: Eukaryota; Metazoa; Chordata; Mammalia; Primates; Hominidae
Description: non-protein coding lnc-C2CD5-3:6
Source: RNAcentral
GAUUAGCACACACCCAUCCCUGGGAACUGCUAGUCUGGAAAGCGGGGCUGCUUCUCCGGGAUGAGCCCGAGCCCUGCCAAGCCCCUCAAGGCAUUGAAGCUUUAGCUCACCUUAUCCGAAUGGUCAUUGGGCAUCUGGACUUGAGUUAACGACUGAAUUUUUCUGGGAAGCAAGGGACACGUUCUAAAAUAACCCCAGGAUCACUCUCCGAACUUGGCCUGAGUCUAGGCAAGCAGUGUUACUCGGUCGCCUUGAUCUUGGAGCUGCUGUGUACUGGGGACCUCAUACUAGUUGGGUUAACUAUAUUCCCAUUAGCAGUACGCGGGAUCGCAGUACUCGGGACAAGCUGAGUUCAGGUAUUUGGGUAAGACAACUGCAACACUUCAGAGGUUAUUUGUGGAGUAAGAUGUUCGACCAUACAGUGAAUAAUUCGAAGCUAGGGAGAACAGAUUAGAGUCUGGUAUGAAGAAGAAAGGGAAGGAAAGGAAUAGUUUUGAAGCUCAGCGCUAGAACGACUCGAUGUCCAUGCCAGGGUACCCCGAGUGGGCCUUGAAAUCUUGCGUCUCAGUGCCUUACAGGGAAUGGUAGAAACUGGAAAAUCUACAAGUAAAGUAUUGGGACCUCCUAAUUUUCCUUUUAGAUGGAGGAAAACGGGCUGGGAUUCCCUGCAGCACUUAGCACACGGUGAAUACGUUUGUUAGUAGUAAAUAAAACCCUUAACUGGACUGAGUUUAAUUAACAUUCAAAAUGUUUAAUUACUUCACUAGCAUUAAGUUUACAUCCUGAUUGUUCAGAAAGAACCUAC